RNAcentral lists this transfer RNA (115 nucleotides) under Candidatus Helarchaeota archaeon. RNAcentral describes it as "tRNA-Pro". Lineage: Archaea; Promethearchaeati; Candidatus Helarchaeota. The record is from RNAcentral.
GGGAAAGUGGUCUAGCUUAGGGCAAAAAAAAGAAGGAUCUUCCUUCACCGCUAAAGGCUAUGAUUCGUGGCUUGGGACCACGGGAUCGUGAGUUCAAAUCUCACCUUUCCCACCA